This 77-nucleotide transfer RNA is filed under the name Xanthomonas oryzae pv. oryzae. RNAcentral describes it as "tRNA-Phe". It matches the Rfam family "tRNA". Rfam says of the family: Transfer RNA (tRNA) molecules are approximately 80 nucleotides in length. Their secondary structure includes four short double-helical elements and three loops (D, anti-codon, and T loops). Further hydrogen bonds mediate the characteristic L-shaped molecular structure. tRNAs have two regions of fundamental functional importance: the anti-codon, which is responsible for specific mRNA codon recognition, and the 3' end, to which the tRNAs corresponding amino acid is attached (by aminoacyl-tRNA synthetases). tRNAs cope with the degeneracy of the genetic code in two manners: having more than one tRNA (with a specific anti-codon) for a particular amino acid; and 'wobble' base-pairing, i.e. permitting non-standard base-pairing at the 3rd anti-codon position. Lineage: Bacteria; Pseudomonadati; Pseudomonadota; Gammaproteobacteria; Lysobacterales; Lysobacteraceae. The record is from RNAcentral.
GGCCGAGUAGCUCAGUUGGUAGAGCAGGGGAUUGAAAAAUCCCCGUGUCGGCGGUUCGAUUCCGUCCUCGGCCACCA